UACCACGAGGCGAGGUGGCCCAGGGAGAGU
Molecule: non-coding RNA, 30 nt
Filed under: Homo sapiens (human)
Lineage: Eukaryota; Metazoa; Chordata; Mammalia; Primates; Hominidae
Source: RNAcentral